CCAACGCAGUCAGUGCGGGUACACGCUCCCCUAAACGACGGGUUAGAGGCGUACUGGGCUGGCGCAGAGGAGAGUGCAACACCUUCAGGGGUCCGGGGGUCGGGGGUGCCCUGUUUGGGAUCGGAGUGGUUCGGGGUGUCGUGCAUCAGGAGGGAGGAGGAGGUAGGAGCAAUCGUCGGCGGCGGUAAGACGGAGGGAGGAGAGACAGGAUGCUGGUACGACGGCCCUCCUUCGAUAACAAGCACCACGGUAUGGCGUCGGCCCCACGACGUGUUCUCCGGUCCCCGGCGGCGGUGGCGCUCGGUACCCUGCGGGCAGCUACUCGGAAGCCCGUCCUUCGGGCGUAGCUCGUGCGGUAGUUGUUCGGCGGUCCUGCUGGAUGACCGGCCAGGGCGCAGCAGCUCGUUCCCGGGACCAACGUGGCAGCACCUCCUCCGCGUGGUAAUUCCUCAUCGUUACGGCAGCUUGAGGGAGAAGGGAAGACAGACGUGGAAGGGAUACUCGAAAAGAAGGUAAGGGAACGAAACGGAGAGGAGGACGAGUGAGAGGGAAGGCACGAGGAGUCGAAAGAAAGCUAAACGAACACGGACGUCCAGGUACCUGUAACAAUCUUACCAAUUAAAUAAGGUCACAUAAUAAAAGUCUCUAGUACAAACAAAUUCUGAGGUACCGUUAAGAGUUCUUAAAGACAAAAAUCAACGAACCGAUUACACAAUUUCACGUAUACGAGCUCAAACCAGUGAAAACUACUAAAAAAGUCAUACGAUAUUAAACAAGUGAAAACUCUAAGUUAAUAUAAUCGUAUCAGAAGAGGGCCUCGUCGUUUUACCUCCUGUUUUUACAGUCGAGACUACACGCAGUCCGAGUUGCUACGGACGGAGGAACGGGGAGGGAUUUGCUGUACCAGGAGAAGUCAAACGUCCAACGGUGAAGGAGACAAGAGUAACUAAAAGAAGCUUGCCACAUGACUAGGUGUGACUUACACAUACUUUUACAAAAACGACCCCGUAAACACGUGGUUCGUUUACCCAUUCCUUUAACCUCUUGACCCUAGAUUGUAACAAUCAGUUCACAGAUCCACUUGUUAAACACCGGUCGUACCUUUUCUGUAGAGCACUUUUAGAUCCAUACUCUACAGAAAAACGUAGGUCACAAGAACGUAUAAUCAUACAACACCACAACACUUUUUUUGUAUACAGUCAGGACCUCAUGUUUAUUCAAAUGUAAACGAAAAUAAAACCAGUAAAACAAAUACACAAAACAAGUUACGUUAACGAAGAUAUGUAUAGUUCUCAAUCCGAAUCCGAGGUGACCUAUUUUCAAAACCGAGAACAAAGAGUUCAAGAUAUCUGCAAUCUCCUCAUUAAUCGUAAGAGAAAGAAGGCUUACCCACAUACACCUACGUAUGUCUAUCAUCUCCUCGUUAAAGGUAGGAGAUAAAAAAAUGGCUGGUAUACACCUACACGUAUUUAACAAGAAACAAAAAAUUGCUCAUUUACAACUACGUGUAUUUUAACUAUACCACCCAAGGUAAGACAAAAUAUACGUACGGUUAAGUAAUCGAUUAAUUAAGUCGAGGUAACUUCAUUAAUAUCAACAUCGAGUAAGAAUAGUAACAAUUCUCCAUUUACCUUACUUAGUAGUAUGUUGUCGGUGAACUUAUUUAGACAAAUUUACGAAACAAAGAGAGAGUUUGGCAAACGGAAUAGACUUAAUGGUAACUUGGUACCAUAACAAAAUAAUUACAUGGUCAUCUUCGCAGUGAGAUCUUUGAGGAGGUUGUACGACUCUUCUCAACCAAGAGUAGAGUUUCUGCGACUUUAGUUUUAACACCUCCAAGUCUUCCAUUUCGUUAGUGGUAAUGGGUCCCUCCCUACGGCGUAGUUAGUCUACGAUUGGAAGAAGUGUUUGAGUAGUGGCUUUGACAUCUAACUAGUCCAAGUGGACGAGAUGUAUCCAUCUACCUCAAUUCCGUAAAGAGAAGUUUAAUGAUUUGACUUAUUAUCAUUAGAGAUGGACAUCUCUAAUAGAGAUCUAUGACCAGCAUAAAAUUCUAGGACCUACUUUCCAACAAGUUAAGAUAGUUCUAAGAAAUCACUAGAUUAUAAACUCGUGCAUCUUAGACUAACAAAUAAAAGGAAUACAAUAUCAACAUUUUAUGAUUACCCAUCAAAGACUUAUAAAACAAACAUCAGAGGUGAGUACACUUUAACGAGUAAGUUAAUAGAAGAUACAUAUACAACGUCCAAUGUUUGUCAUACCAUAGAAAAGACGAUACCCACGAAACUGUUUAUUUUACGUUACAGCGAAAACUACAACUCUCUUAUAGGUUAACUCGUAGAAAGGCGUUAUUUUUAAUCUGUCCUUCCCAUACUCCCUCCCCACAUAAUUUAGGCAUACUCACCUACAAUUUAGGUACCUACUUCUUUGUUUAUCUUUCCUUCAUUUAGUAUCCUUCUUCUCUAUCCAUCCAAAAUGUUCAUGUUCACUUCCGGUCAACCGACCUCGUUUUGGUUAUACAACGAAGUGGCUCGAUGACUCUUUCCUCUUCUUUUUUCUCUUUCGACUGAGUAAUACAUAAGUCCGGAGAACUGUAAGAGGAGAUUAACCCGGAUUAGGACAAUUCGGAAGUACUCGGUUCAUACCACCUAAGAAUCUACUGUUGAACUAUACAUCAAGAGGAUAAUGUCACGAAGCUAGUCAAUUAUGAGGGAGACAACACUUCAAAUACACUUCACACAAGCACGGUAAUUUCUUAAAUAAUAAAGAUACUUGAAGACCGGGUCUCUAAAUAAAGUAAAACAGGUUGACCAAGACUAGUAUCGUUCGAUGAUGUAUUUUCCAUACUAUAUUAAAACAACUGUCACGAACGACUUUUAUGGCCAGGAGUACAUUAGAUUGACAAUGUGGAGAACUCAGGUUAAUCCUUGAGAAAGUAAUAACCUAGAUUUCUCAAACGAAACCAGUCAAUUAUAAGGGAGGCAAGUAUUUAUGUUCUGUAAAAUCUCUGUUCGACGUAUAAAAUUACUUCGUAGGUGAACGACAUCUUUCGUACAAAAUACCAAGACAUGGUCCAUUUCACAAGUCUCCCGUAUUUAUAUAGUAACACAUAUCCAAUAAUAGUAAAAUUUAUUACUUCGUAGAUGUACUUCGACAUUUUUUCCAACAACCUGCUGGUUCACCUGUAUCACGUUAGAUUUGUAAAUGGAAGUUCUUGAUCUUGGAGGGUAAGAUGUACACUUAAAACACCAAUGUUAAGUUUACGGCUUAGUUGUUUCUUCUUACGUCACCACUGGAAUAAAUAUCAAAGAUUAAUAAACCUCAGAUGUAUAUACGUACUCUUGUGACAGUGUGUGCGCCACAAGUGAUUCUCCGGCUCACUUCUUUAUUAGCAGCCGACUCUGUCAAAUAGAAGUCGAUAGAAAUCAAUAAAAGUCUCAAAAUCUCUCAAAUAGAAGUUGAUAGAAGUCAAUAGAAGCCUCAAGAUUUUGCUCAUAAAGAAGUCAAUAGCAGUCUGAAGACUUUGCUCAUAAACAAGUCAAUAGAAGUCAAUUCGGAACCCACACACACACACACCAGGUAUCAGACACUGAAAGAGGUUUACUCGUCGUAGACAUUCACCGAUAUGUUGGUCGCGUUCUACUUACUUCACCUUUUGCAUAGAGAGAGACAAAGUAAGCAGACAGGGUUCGAGUGGACGAUGAAAAAAUGAGGAUAAUUAACAUAACGAUAUACGACUCAUACGUGUAAGAUAUGAACGUGGUAUACAUGAUUAAGGCUUCGUAAAAUGCAAAUCAAUAUUACAACAUGAUUGUACAAUUCCCUCAACAUACUUGUACAAUUAUAAACUAAUAUUUCUUAUUGAAAACGAAGUAACUUCCUGUCUCUCAUUUUGCUCUGUUUCACACGAAGGGUCAAGGGUUUCAUUAAAAUCCAAGAGAGUUUCAUUUUAGUUAACGAUGUACUAUAAAAGAUUGGAAAAAUUCGUGUCCAUCGUUGGCCUGAGAUCUUAAUUCCGAGAGGUAAGAUUCUGAUUGUUUUGCUAGAAGAAUUGGCUCCUUCUAUUCACGAUGA
This 4074-nucleotide ribosomal RNA is filed under the name Triticum aestivum (bread wheat). RNAcentral's name for it is "partial small subunit ribosomal RNA". Lineage: Eukaryota; Viridiplantae; Streptophyta; Magnoliopsida; Poales; Poaceae. The record is from RNAcentral.